CUCUAGACUCUUUCGAAUUUUUCUUUUUCCAACCAUCGGGAUGAGGUCGAGUGUGUAUACUAACUAAAUACCAUAGGACCUUGUCUAUAUACAGCAAUGCCAUUUUUUAGUUUUGGAAGUUUUCCUGCUGGUAGGAAGAGCAGCGCACCCCAGUGAAACCAGUCAGCGUCUGCCUAUUUUAGUCGUGUGGUGAUGUGGUGCGGUCGGUGGUGGCAUUUCUUUCGAAACAUUUCUUGUUGUGAUGGCCAAAAAAUCGACAGCUAACGAGUGAAGGGAAAAGACAAGAGAAACAAAAGAAAAACAGAACGACAGCAGCUACCGUACUGCAAGUGUGCACCUGUAUUUUUGUUUGGCCACGGAUCUCCGUGAAAAAGAAAAAGAAAAAUGAUCAACAUGGAUCUCCCCUGCGUCCCAGUGUGUUGAGUGCCUGCGUUCUCGCCAAAUCAAAUGACAACAAUUGAAAAAAGAACAUUUCAAAAUUCGCGCCAUUGAAAAUCAACCGGGAAAUUACACUCGCAAUCAUUUCAAACGACACAACCUCUUUUUUUUUUUUUUUAAUUUUAUCUCCACUUUCAUCGACGUCAGAGUGAGGCUUCAUCCAUCUAUUGCACCAUCAACCGUGUUUUUGUUUUUUUACGUGCGUGUUCACGAAAGAAAGAAGAAAAAAAAGAGAGAAGUGAAAGUUUCGUUCGUCUGCCGUGUGUCUUUUUUUAUUUUUCCAGUUUCUAGUGGCCCGUGCGUUCGGACGUUUUAAAAAUUGGGUGUCUUUUUUUGUGUGUACCCUGUUUGGUCUUGGGAGGGCUCGGCCGUCCGUGCGUCGUCGUGCGGAUGUGAUAUGAAGAGCGAAUGUUGUGCUUGCAGUGAGGGAGGAACGCCUGCACGUGUACGCAACUGUUAAAGGCCAGGAUGACACGGAUCUCCCGUUAUUGCAUCAGCCAGCACCAGUUCAUCGAUUGCCGUUUGCCGCAUUCAAAUUGCCUUCUCGUUUCGCGCUCUGCAGUUGACAACGGUUUCAGUCGAGCCGCGGUCGUUGGACGACUAAAAAAACUCGAGUUAAAUCUGCAAACAAGCACCUGGUUAAAUGACGUCAUACCAACUGCGCGUUGGAUAACUGACCGUUUUCAAUUUUCUUGCCCUUGCCACAAUCUUAAAAAGAUGGUAAUAGUUAUUUUAUUUGAUUUUUUUAUUUUUUGUGUGUGUUUUAUUUGGUUUUUUUUUUAAGGAUGUGUUUGCCAACUCGGUCAACUUGACUCACGAAAGUGGUCGUUUAUCUACGCAAGUUGAUGGCAGCGUAAUCCCCAUAAGCUUUUGUGUGUGUGUGUGUGUGUGUGUGUGUGUGUGUGUGUGUGUGUGUGUGUGUAACAAAUGCGUUGGACAGGUGUGCUGGAAGGACGAACAAUCAAUUUCUUCUUUUCGGUUAGCGGAUGAAAAGGGGGUCGGACUCACGAGGAGAUGGGGGGGGGGACAUUCUUCAUGGCAUCAAAUAUUUCGUGUUUUUUUUUUCUUUUCUUUUUCUUUUCUUGAGCAACGAAAUUAAAAAAAUAUAUAUAAAAUAUUUUCGUUAUUUGCUGCUCCUGGCCUCAUUUUUUGGUUGCGCAUAACUCGCAUCUAUUUAAAGUUGAAUUGCCAUUCGAUCCUCGUAUACAAAAAGAAAGGCCAACUUUAUUUAUAUCUUUUUUUUUUAUUAUUUCAUAAAUCACCUGGCCGCAUCUCAGGUGUCUGUUGCGCAAUGCUUAUGCAAUUUUCCUUUUUUAAAAUGAUUAUUACUAUUAUUUAUUUAUUUAUUUAUUUAUUAUUAUUUUUUAAAAAUCUACGUGACCUACACUAUAAACGUACGAAGAAAUCCAUCCGGCUCUUCGGAUGGAUGUAGCUUCGAUAGUCUUUGAUAGUCUAUGCAAAACACAAUGCCGGUGGAGGGAGAGGUUUUUGCCGAGCCCCGUUUUUUUUAUUAUAUCGAUGCCCCCCUCUUCGAAACGCUACGUGCCCACCUGCUGGUAACUGACAACUAAGGCAAGUUCCAAGAAAGAAGAAAACACCGGUGCCCUUAUCUAAUUGGCGAGAUCACAAAUGGGAAGAAUUCCAAUGUUGUUUUCUUCUUCUGCCCAAAAGAGAGAGCUCACACCUGUGCGCUCACGCGUACACAGCGAAACUAUCCCGACACCCCCAGCUCGACAUCAUUUGCAUAUAGUUAAGCGGUUUCUUUUAUUUAUUUAUUUAUCUAUUUAUUUAUUUUGUGUGCCUUUGAUGUUUCGAUUUCGGAAAUAUUUGUAGAAAAUCGGGAUUUUCGCCUCGUCUCUUUGCCAUUAUUCAAACGCAAACAAGGAUGUCGCAAUUGUAGGCCUUGAGUGAAUCCAUUCACUGAUUUUGGUGUUGGCUAUUUACGAUGAUAGUUUCAACUCGUCGAAUCGACGCUCAUAAUUAAAGGAGAUGGUUGGUUGUUUUUAGUGAGCCUUUUUUUCAUUUGUUCUUUCUUAAAACAAAAACAUUCGGCGUGAAUGAAUGAAUGGAAUGAAGUGUUGGAAUUAUGACAAAGGGAUGGUCUGGAGAA
Molecule: long non-coding RNA, 2548 nt
Filed under: Daphnia magna
Lineage: Eukaryota; Metazoa; Arthropoda; Branchiopoda; Diplostraca; Daphniidae
Description: uncharacterized LOC123473973, transcript variant X2
Source: RNAcentral